GGCGGCAUAGCCAAGUGGUAAGGCAUGAGACUGCAAAUUUCCUAUCCCCAGUUCAAAUCUGGGUGCCGCCU
Molecule: transfer RNA, 71 nt
Filed under: Sciadopitys verticillata
Lineage: Eukaryota; Viridiplantae; Streptophyta; Pinopsida; Cupressales; Sciadopityaceae
Description: tRNA-Cys
Rfam family: tRNA
About the family: Transfer RNA (tRNA) molecules are approximately 80 nucleotides in length. Their secondary structure includes four short double-helical elements and three loops (D, anti-codon, and T loops).
Source: RNAcentral